GUCAUGUAUGAAUAGCCAGCCACAUCUAG
RNAcentral lists this non-coding RNA (29 nucleotides) under Mus musculus (house mouse). The record is from RNAcentral. Lineage: Eukaryota; Metazoa; Chordata; Mammalia; Rodentia; Muridae.